GUGGGGAAUCUUGCGCAAUGGGCGAAAGCCUGACGCAGCCAAGCCGCGUGAAUGAUGAAGGUCUUAGGAUUGUAAAAUUCUUUCACCGGGGACGAUAAUGACGGUACCCGGAGAAGAAGCUCCGGCUAACUUCGUGCCAGCAGCCGCGGUAAUACGAAGGGGGCUAGCGUUGCUCGGAAUUACUGGGCGUAAAGGGCGCGUAGGCGGACAGCUUAGUCAGAGGUGAAAGCCCAGGGCUCAACCUUGGAAUUGCCUUUGAUACUGGCUGUCUUGAGUUUGGGAGAGGUGAGUGGAACUCCGAGUGUAGAGGUGAAAUUCGUAGAUAUUCGGAAGAACACCAGUGGCGAAGGCGACUCACUGGCCCAAUACUGACGCUGAGGCGCGAAAGCGUGGGGAGCAAACAGGAUUAGAUACCCGAGUAGUCC
This 425-nucleotide ribosomal RNA is filed under the name uncultured bacterium. RNAcentral describes it as "partial 16S ribosomal RNA". It matches the Rfam family "Bacterial small subunit ribosomal RNA", at positions 354 to 796 of the family's 1533-position model. The record is from RNAcentral.